This 73-nucleotide transfer RNA is filed under the name Myotis lucifugus (little brown bat). It matches the Rfam family "tRNA". From Rfam's summary of the family: Transfer RNA (tRNA) molecules are approximately 80 nucleotides in length. Lineage: Eukaryota; Metazoa; Chordata; Mammalia; Chiroptera; Vespertilionidae. The record is from Rfam by way of RNAcentral.
GCUGGUGUGGCUCAGUGGAUAGAGCGUCGGCCUGUGGACCGAAGGGUCCCCAGUUUGAUUCUGGUCAAGGGCA